Molecule: transfer RNA, 130 nt
Filed under: Chloroflexus sp.
Lineage: Bacteria; Bacillati; Chloroflexota; Chloroflexia; Chloroflexales; Chloroflexaceae
Description: tRNA-Ala
Source: RNAcentral
UGGCGGGCGGUGUGGUGGGAACACGCGCCUUGCGAGCCGAUGGGCGGCCGCGGGAACGACAUCGGAAAAGGUGACGGAGUCAACUUGUCGCUUAAUGCCCGUCAACCGGGUUCAAAUCCCGGCCCGCCAA